GGGUCGGUGGCGUAGCUGGCUAUCGCAUCUGUCUAACACACAGAAGGUCCUCAGUUCGAACCUGGGCCGACUUA
Molecule: transfer RNA, 74 nt
Filed under: Armillaria ostoyae
Lineage: Eukaryota; Fungi; Basidiomycota; Agaricomycetes; Agaricales; Physalacriaceae
Rfam family: tRNA
About the family: Transfer RNA (tRNA) molecules are approximately 80 nucleotides in length. Their secondary structure includes four short double-helical elements and three loops (D, anti-codon, and T loops).
Source: RNAcentral